GGGCACCUGGUUGGACGUGCGGUCUGCUUUCGGGGCUGAAGAGGGAUCAUGGGGCAGGACAGGCGGCUUCCAGGAACCUGGACGAUCACCUGGCUUGGGAGCAUCCAGUGAAAAGUGGCUUCCUUGGCCUGCGGCUUUGGCUUGUCUAAGGGGGAGGCAGAUCGUGAAUCAUUACAGAGUGAAUCCAGAGCCCUGGAGUUUCCACAAAGUCUCACUCUCAAGCCUUGGAACCUGGAUGCAGGAGCUGACCUCCAGUUGGAGGAGGUGAAGAGCUGGGCUGGGCUCUAGCCACAGCCCAACCAGGAACGGUGAUUGGGAUGGAUGGACGGCUACUGUCACAGAGAGGUUGGGCUUCCAGACAGAGCAACAGGGAAAUCUGGGACAGGAGGGAGAAAGUGGCCAUCUGCAAACCAGGAAGUGGGGCCUCACCAGACCCUGGAUCAGCUGGCACCUUGAUCUUGGACUUCAGAGUAGUGAGAAAUGGAAGUGGAUACCCACUGUCUGUGGUAUGUGCUCUGGCCACCUGAGCUGACUAGAAUAGGAAGGAAGCCCAGCAUCUGAGCCCAGGGAACACUGCCAGCCAGGCCUCCUCCAGGCAUCGGGGUCCCCCCAACAGCUGGCUAUGGGAUCCUAAACCUCAGUGCAUUCUAUGUCCUAAAUGGUCCGCAAAUCCCUCCAUCUUUGCCCUCGUGAUCUGACUCUAAUUUACACCGCCACUGGCUCUGCCCCGUGUUAUGGCAAUAGCCCCUCACUGGUAGGUCUCUCAUGGCCAUUACUGCCCCUUAGGUCUGGGUAUCUAAUCACACCACAUCUCUGUUUAAAAACCCUUCUGUCACUCGGGUAAUUCCAAACGCUCUGCCAAGACAUGCACCUUUCCACCCUACUUACCCGCCAGCUUCCUCUCCUCCCCUCAGAACUUGCUCCAGGCUGGUCCAACCACCAGGUGCUGCUCUGACCUCUUUGUCCCGAGGACUACUCCUUCAUAUCUUGGCUCAGCUGUUUCUCCCACAAACCUACCUCUUUGGCCCUCACAAGGCCCCAUAUCUCAAGGCCUUGUAGCCUUUAAGAUGGCGGUCGUCAGAUAACAAGCUGGCUGCUUGAUGUCUGACUUCCCAUGAGGCUGUGGGUCAGCCCGACGAAGGCAGACUGCCCCGGCCAUUCACGACUCCACCCCAGGGCCGACCCCUGCCCUUCCCUGCUGAGCCCUUGCUGGGCCAAAUCAAUGGGCCAACGUAGGAAAAGGAACGUACUUCCGAAACACACCACACCAUGGAUGGAUCUCAGAACGAUUAGCCUGAGGGAGAGAAGCCAGACCCAAGGGUACGCACAAUAGGAUUUCAUGUAAAUAAAAUUCUAGAAACCUUAAAUGAAGCUCUAGGGACAGAAGCAGAUAAGUGGCUGUCUGAGGUAGGGGAUAACGAGAGAGUGGACAGGGCCAGGGCAGGAGGGAACAUUCUGGAAUGAUGCAGUUCAGACUGUAUCUUCACUCAACCAAGCUCAUCAAAUCCUACACUUCAAAUGAACGCAGUGUAUCAUGUACACAUUAUACCUAAUAAAAUUGAUUGGUUUUUCGAUUGAAAAAUGUUACCAAAUCUCCUAAUUAUGGCCAAUAAUACGCUCACGGUCUUUGUCACGAUUAGACACUGAGCUACUCAGGUCCCACAACAGCCGCGGGACACUGAAGCUCAACUUGGUGCCAUGCAUUGCUCUGAGCACCUCUCAUGAUUUCCGUGUGUCUGUGACAGUCCUUGUCCUCCUGAGGCCCUGACAUCCCUGUUUGUAGACCAUGCCCAGCCUGGGGCCAGAGCCCACUGGACCACGUGGAACCCAGACAGGCCAGCUGGUUCCUCCUCCGUGUGAUUUUGUUCCAUGUGCUGUAGAGCCCAGGGCCUGCUGUGGGCCUCAGGGCAGGCUGGCAAGGCCAGGGUCUGCUGGUAAACUGAGGCCUGCGUAAGCUGGAACACUGAGAAGGGCAUGAGCAGAUGGGGAGAGGAGAAGCACCCAGCCCUGGAGGGCCCCCAUGAGGAGGCAGCAGGGGUUCCCGAGCUUCCCUCUCUGAGCCGGCAGCUGCCUCUCCUGGAGUAGUCCCGAAGCCUGUCAAAACUGAGCCAGUGAAGACUGUGGCAGGCGAGCGUUCCCGCGGGAGUUCACACCAAGGUGGGUGCUCUCCGGCCCAGUGUAGAUGAAAUAAUAUAUGUCAGGGGCCUGGUCUCCCACAGGCACCUACUACACACUCAGGCAGAAAAGAACCGAAAGGGCAGGUGAAGAAUCACGCAGCUGAGGGUUCGAGGCAGAUCGCGGGAGGACGGAAGCUGCUUCUCCGAGAGGCCGGGGCCAGCGGGACAGGAGCUGAUGGAGUAGAAGAGGGGCUGUUUGUCUCCACCCGACGGCGGAAAAGGCCCAACUGUCUGACUCAAGGAUCGCCCCGUGAGUUCAAAGAAAGAAACAUUCUCCUACCAUUACCUCUUCUAGGGUCAUGUUAAGAUCCCGCUUACGUGAUGAAAUCACAUAAGGACGGUGUCUACAGAGCAGUGUCACAAAGGAUUCAGAAACGGCCAAUGUCCCCUUCUUGUAGCAAACCUGGAUGAAAGGUUAAGCUCCACAGGGAGUUCUAGAAGGACAUAAGUACGAAUUAAAAGAUGACCGGGGCGCCUGGGUGGCUCAGUGGGUUAAAGCCUCUGUCU
Molecule: long non-coding RNA, 2684 nt
Organism: Enhydra lutris kenyoni (northern sea otter)
Lineage: Eukaryota; Metazoa; Chordata; Mammalia; Carnivora; Mustelidae
Exons: 3
Source: RefSeq, a predicted model, not a curated record